GAUGAACGCUGGCGGCGUGCCUAAUACAUGCAAGUCGAGCGAACGGACGAGAAGCUUGCUUCUCUGAUGUUAGCGGCGGACGGGUGAGUAACACGUGGAUAACCUACCUAUAAGACUGGGAUAACUUCGGGAAACCGGAGCUAAUACCGGAUAAUAUUUUGAACCGCAUGGUUCAAAAGUGAAAGACGGUCUUGCUGUCACUUAUAGAUGGAUCCGCGCUGCAUUAGCUAGUUGGUAAGGUAACGGCUUACCAAGGCAACGAUGCAUAGCCGACCUGAGAGGGUGAUCGGCCACACUGGAACUGAGACACGGUCCAGACUCCUACGGGAGGCAGCGGUAGGGAAUCUUCCGCAAUGGGCGAAAGCCUGACGGAGCAACGCCGCGUGAGUGAUGAAGGUCUUCGGAUCGUAAAACUCUGUUAUUAGGGAAGAACAUAUGUGUAAGUAACUGUGCACAUCUUGACGGUACCUAAUCAGAAAGCCACGGCUAACUACGUGCCAGCAGCCGCGGUAAUACGUAGGUGGCAAGCGUUAUCCGGAAUUAUUGGGCGUAAAGCGCGCGUAGGCGGUUUUUUAAGUCUGAUGUGAAAGCCCACGGCUCAACCGUGGAGGGUCAUUGGAAACUGGAAAACUUGAGUGCAGAAGAGGAAAGUGGAAUUCCAUGUGUAGCGGUGAAAUGCGCAGAGAUAUGGAGGAACACCAGUGGCGAAGGCGACUUUCUGGUCUGUAACUGACGCUGAUGUGCGAAAGCGUGGGGAUCAAACAGGAUUAGAUACCCUGGUAGUCCACGCCGUAAACGAUGAGUGCUAAGUGUUAGGGGGUUUCCGCCCCUUAGUGCUGCAGCUAACGCAUUAAGCACUCCGCCUGGGGAGUACGACCGCAAGGUUGAAACUCAAGGGAAUUGACGGGGACCCGCACAAGCGGUGGAGCAUGUGGUUUAAUUCGAAGCAACGCGAAGAACCUUACCAAAUCUUGACAUCCUUUGACAACUCUAGAGAUAGAGCUUUCCCCUUCGGGGGACAAAGUGACAGGUGGUGCAUGGUUGUCGUCAGCUCGUGUCGUGAGAUGUUGGGUUAAGUCCCGCAACGAGCGCAACCCUUAAGCUUAGUUGCCAUCAUUAAGUUGGGCACUCUAAGUUGACUGCCGGUGACAAACCGGAGGAAGGUGGGGAUGACGUCAAAUCCUCAUGCCCCUUAUGAUUUGGGCUACACACGUGCUACAAUGGACAAUACAAAGGGCAGCGAAACCGCGAGGUCAAGCAAAUCCCAUAAAGUUGUUCUCAGUUCGGAUUGUAGUCUGCAACUCGACUACAUGAAGCUGGAAUCGCUAGUAAUCGUAGAUCAGCAUGCUACGGUGAAUACGUUCCCGGGUCU
Molecule: ribosomal RNA, 1372 nt
Filed under: uncultured bacterium
Lineage: Bacteria
Description: bacterial SSU rRNA
Rfam family: Bacterial small subunit ribosomal RNA
Source: RNAcentral